RNAcentral lists this ribosomal RNA (498 nucleotides) under uncultured bacterium. Its description in RNAcentral is "partial 16S ribosomal RNA". It matches the Rfam family "Bacterial small subunit ribosomal RNA", at positions 899 to 1397 of the family's 1533-position model. The record is from RNAcentral.
ACUCAAAGGAAUUGACGGGGACCCGCACAAGCGGUGGAGCAUGUGGUUUAAUUCGACGCAACGCGAAGAACCUUACCUGGACUAGAAUGUGAGGGAAUGUCGGGUAAUGCCGGCAGUCCGGGAAACCGGACCCAAAACAAGGUGCUGCAUGGCUGUCGUCAGCUCGUGUCGUGAGAUGUUGGGUUAAGUCCCGCAACGAGCGCAACCCUUAUCAACAGUUGCCAUCAUUAAGUUGGGAACUCUGUUGAGACUGCCGUUGAUAAAACGGAGGAAGGUGGGGAUGAUGUCAAGUCAUCAUGGCCUUUAUGUUCAGGGCUACACACGUGCUACAAUGGACGGUACAAAACGUCGCAAUCUCGUAAGAGGGAGCUAAUCGCUAAAACCGUUCUCAGUUCGGAUUGAAGUCUGCAACUCGACUUCAUGAAGUUGGAAUCGCUAGUAAUCGCAAAUCAGCAUGUUGCGGUGAAUACGUUCCCGGGUCUUGUACACACCGCCCGU